UUGAGCAGCGUCAUCCCACAGUUCACAUCACAGGUUCUGUGAUGUAGGAGGCAAAGGAACUCAACAUGGUCUCAUCUGAUUUCAUCCUGGGUACCUAACACACACUGAAUCACAUCCACCAAUC
Long non-coding RNA from Sphaeramia orbicularis (orbiculate cardinalfish), 124 nucleotides. RefSeq lists it as uncharacterized. The record is from RefSeq and is a predicted model, not a curated record. Lineage: Eukaryota; Metazoa; Chordata; Actinopteri; Kurtiformes; Apogonidae. The transcript has 3 exons.